Molecule: ribosomal RNA, 492 nt
Filed under: uncultured bacterium
Lineage: Bacteria
Description: partial 16S ribosomal RNA
Rfam family: Bacterial small subunit ribosomal RNA
Source: RNAcentral
AGUGAACGCUGGCGGUAGGCCUAACACAUGCAAGUCGAACGGCAGCACUUUUAUUGUUUGCUUUUACGGGUGGCGGGUGGCGGGCGUGUGACGAGUACAUCGGGAUCUACUUUUUCGGGGAUCAUCACGUAGCGAAACCUCCACUAAUACCGCAUACGGUCUACGGCUGAAAGCAGGGGACCAUCACACCUUUCGCGAUUGAAUUAGCCGAUGUCGGAUUAGUUAGUUGGCGGGGUAAAGUCCCACCAAGGCGACGAUCCGUAGCUGGUCUGAGAGGAUGGUCAGCGACACUGGAACUGUGACACGGUCCAGCCUCCUACGGGAGGCAGCAGUGGGGAAUAGUAGGCAGUGGGAGCAAGCCUGAUCCAGCCAUACCGCGUGAGUGAAGAAGGCCUUCGGAUUGUAAAGCACUUUUGUUGGGAAAGAAAAGCUGCAGGUUAAUACCCCGCAGUUCUGACGGUACCCAAAGAAUAAGCACCGGCUAACUUCGUG